GGCAAUUGGCGCAGCCUACACAUGCAGUCGAACGGUAACAGGAAGCAGCUUGCUGCUUUGCUGACGAGUGGCGGACGGGUGAGUAAUGUCUGGGAAACUGCCUGAUGGAGGGGGAUAACUACUGGAAACGGUAGCUAAUACCGCAUAACGUCGCAAGACCAAAGAGGGGGACCUUCGGGCCUCUUGCCAUCGGAUGUGCCCAGAUGGGAUUAGCUUGUUGGUGGGGUAACGGCUCACCAAGGCGACGAUCCCUAGCUGGUCUGAGAGGAUGACCAGCCACACUGGAACUGAGACACGGUCCAGACUCCUACGGGAGGCAGCAGUGGGGAAUAUUGCACAAUGGGCGCAAGCCUGAUGCAGCCAUGCCGCGUGUAUGAAGAAGGCCUUCGGGUUGUAAAGUACUUUCAGCGGGGAGGAAGGGAGUAAAGUUAAUACCUUUACUCAUUGACGUUACCCGCAGAAGAAGCACCGGCUAACUCCGUGCCAGCAGCCGCGGUAAUACGGAGGGUGCAAGCGUUAAUCGGAAUUACUGGGCGUAAAGCGCACGCAGGCGGUUUGUUAAGUCAGAUGUGAAAUCCCCGGGCUCAACCUGGGAACUGCAUCUGAUACUGGCAAGCUUGAGUCUCGUAGAGGGGGGUAGAAUUCCAGGUGUAGCGGUGAAAUGCGUAGAGAUCUGGAGGAAUACCGGUGGCGAAGGCGGCCCCCUGGACGAAGACUGACGCUCAGGUGCGAAAGCGUGGGGAGCAAACAGGAUUAGAUACCCUGGUAGUCCACGCCGUAAACGAUGUCGACUUGGAGGUUGUGCCCUUGAGGCGUGGCUUCCGGAGCUAACGCGUUAAGUCGACCGCCUGGGGAGUACGGCCGCAAGGUUAAAACUCAAAUGAAUUGACGGGGGCCCGCACAAGCGGUGGAGCAUGUGGUUUAAUUCGAUGCAACGCGAAGAACCUUACCUGGUCUUGACAUCCACGGAAGUUUUCAGAGAUGAGAAUGUGCCUUCGGGAACCGUGAGACAGGUGCUGCAUGGCUGUCGUCAGCUCGUGUGUGAAAUGUGGGUAGUCCCGCACGAGCGCACCCUUAUCUUGUGCAGCGUCGCGGACUCAAAGGAGACUGCAGUGAUAACUGAGAAGGUGGGGGAUGACGUCAGUCAAUCCAUUGGGCUA
Molecule: ribosomal RNA, 1160 nt
Filed under: Escherichia coli
Lineage: Bacteria; Pseudomonadati; Pseudomonadota; Gammaproteobacteria; Enterobacterales; Enterobacteriaceae
Description: bacterial SSU rRNA
Rfam family: Bacterial small subunit ribosomal RNA
Source: RNAcentral